CAUGUGUGACGACAAAUUACACCCUGAGAAUUGUGACUUGUUUUCCAUACCUCAAAGAUCCAUUCUCCAAACCUGGACAUGUACAGAUGCUUAGCUUAGCGGCAGUGGCUCAGGAGGUAGAGCAGGUCGUCCAGAAAUCGUAAGCUGUUUGGUGAGGAGUGCAAGGAGGCGCUAUCUACAAUAAGACAUUCAACCGAUGAAUCCGUGGUCAAAGAAGAUGAGAGCAACUUUCCAGUAUCGGCAGAAUAUGAUCCGAGCAAAAGAUGUAUCAUCAUCUGUCCUCAAUGUGUUCCCUCGCUUCCUUGAUGUUCCUGGAUUGGUAAGGAAAUCUUUAGUAUUUGGACUAGUUCAGUAUUAGAUUACCCAUUACAUCAACCAUUUGUAAAGCUGCAGGCCUACAGUAUAUGAAAUAUUCAUGUCUUGUUCAUACAUUGACCAGGA
Molecule: long non-coding RNA, 441 nt
Organism: Dunckerocampus dactyliophorus (ringed pipefish)
Lineage: Eukaryota; Metazoa; Chordata; Actinopteri; Syngnathiformes; Syngnathidae
Exons: 3
Source: RefSeq, a predicted model, not a curated record